Molecule: ribosomal RNA, 370 nt
Filed under: Acanthamoeba sp. SGC-4
Lineage: Eukaryota; Discosea; Longamoebia; Acanthamoebidae
Description: SSU rRNA
Rfam family: Eukaryotic small subunit ribosomal RNA
Source: RNAcentral
UUUCCUGCCACCSARUACAUUAGCAUGGGAUAAUGGAAUAGGACCCUGACCUCAAUUUUCAGUUGGUUUUGUUUACAGCGAGGUUAUAUCASGGUAAUGAUUAAUAGGGAUAGUUGGGGGCAUUAAUAUUUAAUUGUCAGAGGUGAAAUUCUUGGAUUUAUGAAAGAUUAACUUCUGCGAAAGCGUUUGCCAAGGAUGUUUUCAUUAAUCAAGAACGAAAGUUAGGGGAUCGAAGACGAUCAGAUACCGUCGUAGUCUUAACCAUAAACGAUGCCGACCAGCGAUUAGGAGACGUUGAAUACAAAACACCGCUGUUAAUCCUUUCGGGGGUUAAUAGUUGGUGAAUGACUCCCCUAGCAGCUUGUGAGAA